CCUACGUGUGGCAGCAGUGGGGAAUAUUGCGCAAUGGGCGAAAGCCUGACGCAGCGACGCCGCGUGAGGGAUGAAGGUCUUCGGAUCGUAAACCUCUGUCAGCAGGGAAGAACGGUCACUGUGCUAAUCAGCAGUGAAUUGACGGUACCUGCAAAGGAAGCAACGGCUAACUCCGUGCCAGCAGCCGCGGUAAGACUGAGGGUGCGAGCGUAAAUCGGAAUUACUGGGCGUAAAGCGCUCGUAGGCGGUAUGUCAAGUCAAGGGUGAAAUCCCCGCGGGCAACGUGGGAACUGCCUUUUAAACGGGCGACAUGGAGUGUGUGAGAGGAUAGUGGAAUUCCAGGUGUAGGAGUAAAAUCCGGAGAUAUCUGGAGGAACAUCAGUGGCGAAGGCGACGAUCUGGCACAUAACUGACGCUGAGGAGCGAAAGCGUGGGUAGCAAACAGGAUUAGAUACCCUAGUAGUC
This 465-nucleotide ribosomal RNA is filed under the name uncultured bacterium. RNAcentral describes it as "partial 16S ribosomal RNA". It matches the Rfam family "Bacterial small subunit ribosomal RNA", at positions 338 to 795 of the family's 1533-position model. The record is from RNAcentral.